This 253-nucleotide ribosomal RNA is filed under the name uncultured bacterium. Its description in RNAcentral is "partial 16S ribosomal RNA". It matches the Rfam family "Bacterial small subunit ribosomal RNA", at positions 524 to 776 of the family's 1533-position model. The record is from RNAcentral.
UACGUAGGUGGCAAGCGUUGUCCGGAUUUAUUGGGUUUAAAGGGUGCGUAGGCGGUUUUAUAAGUCAGUGGUGAAAUACGGCAGCUCAACUGUCGAGGUGCCAUUGAUACUGUAGAACUUGAGUACAGACGAGGUAGGCGGAAUUGACGGUGUAGCGGUGAAAUGCGUAGAUAUCGUCAAGAACACCGAUAGCGAAGGCAGCUUACUAGGCUGUAACUGACGCUGAGGCACGAAAGUGUGGGGAGCAAACAGG